This 661-nucleotide long non-coding RNA is filed under the name Fukomys damarensis (Damara mole-rat). RNAcentral describes it as "lncRNA (ENSFDAG00000025464.1)". The record is from RNAcentral. Lineage: Eukaryota; Metazoa; Chordata; Mammalia; Rodentia; Bathyergidae.
GCUGGCCUGUAUCUGGACCCUCCUGGACUCCUAUCAUCCACCCUUUUCCACAAUGCCCAUUCCCAAAGCCUGGUGCUGCUUGGGCUGUGCAUUUCCGUUUGGAUUCCAGCUCUAGAACCUCCUCUGGUCCUCCCAGUGGCUCUACCCGGUGAAGUUGGAUGAUUCAGUGCUGCUCUUCUAGGUCGUGUUGGGGGCCAAGUGAUAGAAGCUGCGUAAAUGUAUCUCUAGGUUUUGUUCAAGGAUGGACAGAGGGUGUUAUGUGACCUCAAAGAGGGAGUGAUGAGCAGAAGAGCAGAUCUGGGGGUGAACCACUGGCUCCUGUGACAGUUUCAGAGCCACUCAUGGCAAGGGAGUUGCUGUGUUCCCAUGGCAACAGUAACCUACAGGGCUCACCUUGGGAACACUGCUGUGUGCCCGGGCCAUGGGGCUUCCUGUUUCCUGUGUCCUAGCUCAGCAAGGACUUAUCCAGCCUUUGUGGCUCCUCAACAUGUCCCCUGCCCCUCCCCAUCACAUGCAGUUCCAUGCCAUAGGCAUCUGUACUCAGAGGCUCACAGGACAGUGGCACAGAAAGGCAGCACACUGUGAAUCCAAGUGCCAAGACAACUUCUGCAAACUCCAGGGUUGAGACAGCCCACAGAAAAGGCUGUGCCACCAAAACUGU